This 550-nucleotide ribosomal RNA is filed under the name uncultured Enterococcus sp. RNAcentral's name for it is "bacterial LSU rRNA". It matches the Rfam family "Bacterial large subunit ribosomal RNA", at positions 295 to 849 of the family's 2925-position model. Lineage: Bacteria; Bacillati; Bacillota; Bacilli; Lactobacillales; Enterococcaceae. The record is from RNAcentral.
GGGUUGUAGGACUGGGCGCGAGACUGCGAUGGAUAGCAGAAGCAACUGGAAAGUUGCGCAAGAUAGGGUAAUAGCCCCGUAUGCGAAAUCCAAAUCAGCUCUACCAGUAUCCUGAGUACGGCGGAACACGAGAAAUUCCGUCGGAAUCCGGGAGGACCAUCUCCCAAGGCUAAAUACUCCCUAGUGACCGAUAGUGAACCAGUACCGUGAGGGAAAGGUGAAAAGCACCCCGGAAGGGGAGUGAAACAGUACCUGAAACCGUGUGCCUACAAGUAGUCAAAGCCCGUUAAUGGGUGAUGGCGUACCUUUUGUAGAAUGGACCGGCGAGUUACGAUUUCAUGCAAGGUUAAGUCGAAAAGACGGAGCCGCAGCGAAAGCGAGUCUGAAUAGGGCGAAUAAGUAUGAGGUCGUAGACCCGAAACCAAGUGACCUACCCAUGUCCAGGUUGAAGGUGCGGUAAUACGCACUGGAGGACCGAACCCACGCACGUUGAAAAGUGCGGGGAUGAGGUGUGGGUAGCGGAGAAAUUCCAAUCGAACUUGGAGAUAGC